Molecule: long non-coding RNA, 4314 nt
Organism: Varroa destructor (honeybee mite)
Lineage: Eukaryota; Metazoa; Arthropoda; Arachnida; Mesostigmata; Varroidae
Source: RefSeq, a predicted model, not a curated record
CUCUUUUCCCUUAUCUGCUCCAUCUAUCCAGCCGGAUAUGUAAUAAAUACACGUUUAGUCUCGACGUGCCCAUACGCAAUGAAAAAGACUCAGCAACGUUGAUAAAUGAAAGUCUUCCGGCGAUCGAGAGCCCCUGUGCAAAAAAACUAAAGAAUAACGCAGUCGGUUGAUCUUUGCGACGCCUUAACUUAAAGGAGACCACCACUAAUUAAAGACUAAAACAGAAUGAGGUAACGGGUCAAGAACGGUCCGCCUCGCUGAAGGAUUGGAUGGUCUCGUACCCGUAACGUCAGCAGGGCCUGGUCCGCCAGUUGGCCUGAAAACAUGAGCAGCAGCCCCCAUUAUUGCCACCACAGAUACUGGCGAACCCGAACCGGUCGAGCCAACCCUAGUGCCGUGACGUCGCCAAAUGGCUGUUGUUUGGAUAAAGAAGACCAAGUACGACCAAUGAUCCUAUUCGCUGUUUCUCCUUUCUCUCGCAUUUAGCACUGUGCAUGCUUACGUUGGGUGUUACUGGAGAGAUAAAUCGAGUCGAUUUUUACUAGGGCUUAAUUGAAAAUAUCGUCCUUUUCCACAGUGUUCUCCUUUGCCUCUGCUUGGUGUCUGUGAUCCGUAACUGGCGGAUCUGGGAGGGGCUUUGCACAAGUUAGCCAGGCAAGCCGUUAGCACUGCGGAAGGAUGCGUUGGUGAACUGGUAGUUAGAACUACGUUUAGCAAAAAAAAUAUUACUGGCUUGUUCCAGCCCAAUAGCAGACGUCUACCGACUAUCCGAUCGACUAAACAGGACCAACUGCAUUUAAUGCACUCCAUUUUCCACUGAAAACGAACUUUAGCUUGCUGUUGUAGCAGUACAAGUACCCAGUGAUUAGAAUCGACCGUUGCGACGGGCUGAUUUCCACACUAGGCGUUCUAAGGCAUUAUAGAAGAUCUCGGCACGUUUCUGUCGGCAGUGUUGUGUAACUUCGAUAUAGUCAAAUCGGAGUGACUGGGGUACUGGCAGAACGUGGGGCACUGGCUCCCAGCGGAUCUACACGGACCGCCAAAAAGUCGCUGUGAUUCGGCCAGCUGAUCGGAUCAGUGGUUCUUCUUGCAGACGAAUCAGUGUUACCACAAUGCGUAACAGUAUCUUCGUUCCCCCGGCCAUAGAAACGACAUGACAUGUCGAGUGUGAUAAUCGGCUCUAACUAUAUAGAAUAGCAUCGAGUCAAAUCGUGCAUUUGGUCGGAUUAGACUGCUCCUGCUCAUCAUCAAUAUUCCCUUGGUCACUUGCCCAGUUUCGAUGAUUAUGCUAGUGGCCCCGAAAUAGCGGACGUGCCAACGCAGCGCACGGAAGAGCACUAUACGUCACCUUUCUCAUUGUGCCCGGCGCAGAUCUAACCAGCGUGCGGAGGGACGGUAUCAGACGUCACCGUUAUAUAUUUCUAUAUGAUAUAAGAUAGUGGUUUAUACCGUGACGAUUGAAUGUGAGUCAAGAAGGUGUGCUAUCAUCUCAAGCGGCGUCUUACUCAGCAGCAACGAAAAUAACGAUGACAAUCGGCGCCACCGCUGCAAUGAUAACCCCCUAGGGGGACUGGGCACCGCACGUAGCUGUACCAGGGUAACACGAGACUCCCGAAGUACGCGGAAACGGAAAAUGAAGCCAGAAAAUCAGCAAGCGAUUUGCAACACAGGAUUGAUGGCCACUAUAGACACAUGUAAGCGUAUUGACAACUGGCAUUCCGCAACUUCAAUAGGUUUUCGUGAUUCAAGAGAUCGUCACCGGAUGCCCUUUAUCAAUAAAAAUAUGAUAGCAAAUGGGAGAUUGGGCUUGUAAUGUAAAUAGACGACCACCGUUUUUUGCUUGAGAAAAACCUCAAAAAGCUCGCCGUAUUAAGCUCGGACAUUAUGUCUGACAGCUCCCUGUGCGCGCCAUUCUAAAACUUCGCUAACAUUCAACGAGAUGUCGAAAAAAAUUGACGCCUCAGCCGCAAUUCGAAAACUGGCCACCGGUAAAGCACAAAAGCAAAAUCGGGACUUCUCAGCAUAAAACCAGCAUCCGCUACCUUCAGUAAUGACAGCGUCGUCAAUAUUUGCAGUCGGCAAGACGACAAAAUACGAGGAUAGAUUCGGCUGUUCAUAGCUGAAGUCAUUACCAGAAAGGAGUACUACGUAUUUGACAGAGUCAAAAAUGGUGUUCCGUCGAUUGUGUUUUUUUUUUUAUUUGCCUAUCCACUUCUGUUCGCCCUUAUACCGAGUUGUGAUGUUAUUGUAUAUGGAUAUAAGUCGGAUUCGUAACGACUGAAAAAUAAAUAUGUUCCAAAUGGUCGAAGUAAGGCAAGAAUGAUCUGACGGAUGGGCCAGAACUAUGGCUGCUACCUAACGAGUUAUCAACCAUUAGAUCGUAAUGUUACGAUCAGUCGUUGACAUCCAGCAACAGUGUACUCAGCAGACAGACCGACUGAAUGACAGCAACAACAAUAAUUUACUAUUUAGUACAGCACAUUGACCAAGGAAACUGGUGACAUAGUUGCCAGGUAUCAUUACGGGAGGCGUAUGCGUGGCGUGGCGUGGCGUGGCGGGAACCCUCACGAGGUAUGCAAUUGUAAAUAGCCAAGGAACCGACGACAAUAGAACCUUAUCGUACCCGCGUUAUAGUUGCGGCAUUUGCCUGUGUAUAAAACAUCGAAUCAUUCUACCGCUAUAUCUAGCGGCCAGUUGUUACCAGACGAUUUCGAGCUGAGAGCGAGUGAGCUACAGUGAAAAACCGAAAGGUAACGGUUGCGCCAUUGUUGUUGGAGAAUUUGUUAGCGUUCAUGUUGCGUCGUCCUGCUAAAAGAUCAUCGUUAUUGCCAACAGUUGCUAGAUUAAAUACCGUUGGCGCACCAUGAGAUCGUAGCACUGGAUGGCUCCCCGGCCUGAUCCGUCUAGACCUUGUUCAGGUGACCUUCUCGUUUUUCGCCUUUUUCCUCACGCUCGUAUUCCCGUUCUUUAUCGAUGAACAAUUUACUAAACCAUUGGCGCUUAACGUCGAUGGCGGAGAGCAGUUGAAAGUAAACAAUUACAGCCGACGAAGCUAGAGGCAGAAAAACGAUAGCACAAAAGCAUGAGUUAUUACUGGAUGUUCGUGGUUUUGGGCAUGUCCGCUCUAUUGGCUGGCUGGCUGGCUGGCUGACAGUAUUGUCACGUCGCGCAUUAACCUCGAAAAUAUGAGCUGAAGCCAAAACGAGUUCCAGUGACUUGCUAUACAUUCGCAUAUGAAUCAGAUAGUCACUCGAGAUCUGACGAAGGGUCAAGUAAUGGAUGAAAGUACUCGUUAUACAUUCAAAACUGUGACCCGGGCUUCAGUGUUGCUAAAAAUGCUUUCUGGAAAUUCACACUACAGUGAUCACAGUGGAAAAUGAGAACACUGAUCAGGACAGUCUUCUAUCUGAGACGUAUUUAGUUGGCAACGAUAAGCGUCGUUAGCUAAUUUCAACUGCAGAGCUAAAUCGUCCUAACAACUCACGUAACGGUAAUAACGACAAUGAAAAAGUUGGCUGAUCGAUCAGUGCGCCCCGCGAUAAUUCGAAUCCGAAGCCUAUAUUGUCCGUUUACUAUCACGUUAAUAGUCAAAGAAAGCGUCAUUAAACGAGACAAUCAGCCCCUGAAUGAUUUGUUCCCGCCAAACACUUACUUCGUCUGUCGUACGACGCCGCUUCGGUCGCUGCAAUUGUCGUUGUUCCUUUUACGGUGGAUAUCGUAGCGGAGGCGAACCGUAACGGAGGCGAAAGGAAAAGUUUUCUGGCAAUUUGUGGUUCGUUGUCGUAUUUUCUAAUUGGAAGUUCAGGAACGUACUUGUUUACCUCGUGGGCUUCACACGAUUUUACAGUCUAGAUACAGAAUAUUCCAUUGCAUCCUAUAGGACCCGUUACAGUAUUGUGAUAGCACUUCUGUGGUAUCAAUCACUGCGAAACUCUAGUGUCGAUGCUAUCCAUCUAUAUAGAUACGACCAGCUUACUCUGCGUUUGCAGUUCCACUUACAAGAAUUGACCUUAUCAAUAGUCAGUCUUAGCAUUUCAUCGUUCUCUGACAAACGCCCUUUUUCCCAGCAACCAGCAUCAAGUAUAUUAAAAAAGACACGAAAAAUUACGCAAAAACCUAACAUCUCUCUUGUUUAAAAUUUCUUUGCCUAAAAACAUAUAGCGAGGCUAAUAUCACAUGGGCAAAUUUACUCAAGUUACGUUUUUGUAACGUAGAUAUGCACGAAACGGUUUUUUCAGAAACAACAAGUGUAUCUAUCUACACAACGACGGCUUACGACAUCAAAUCGUUAAAGGCCUGCCUAUGCUACUUAUA